CUUUUCUUUUCCUGCCUGGGACGGAAAGGACGCCCCGCCGCGCGGCAGUCCUGGGGCGCGGCCGGGGCGGGUGACGUCACGCGCCCUUAGGCCCCGCCCCUGGCUCGGAGGCUCCCCCUGGCUCGGAGGCUCCCCCUCCCCCGCCCGCCACGAGGCCCGCAGGUCCCCGUCGGCCCCGCCCCUCCGGCGGCCAGGUCCUCCAGCCGUCCCGGCAUGCCUCUCGCUCACUCGCUCGCUUUAGCGAGAGCGGCUCGGCGGGGUGCCGGGGGCUGCUGCGGGGAGCGGGCCUUUCUAGCCUGCCCUCUCGUUCUCUCUUUAGCAACAUGGCGGGCGUGGAGGCGGCGCAGGCGGCGGCCGCAGAGAGGCACCUGAACGGCGAGCUGGAGCCGGACGACAAGGACGACGGCGCGGCCGCCACGGCUGAGGAAACGGCCAAGAAGAAGCGCCGCAAGAAGAAGAAGGGCAAGGCCGGAACCGCAGGACAACAGGAAACGGAGGGAGAAUCGGGGACUUCUAUCAAUGAGGUAGUCAAACAGCUGGAAAAACAGGCCCUGGAGGACAAAGAAAAAGAAGCAAAAGAAGAAAGGGCAGAAGUAGGAGAGGAUAUCAAAAUGCUAGGGAAUGCACAUGUGACAUUCAUAACUUUGAAUGUGAAUGGGAUAAACUUGCCCAUCAAGUGA
RNAcentral lists this long non-coding RNA (680 nucleotides) under Monodelphis domestica (gray short-tailed opossum). RNAcentral's name for it is "lncRNA (ENSMODG00000045682.1)". The record is from RNAcentral. Lineage: Eukaryota; Metazoa; Chordata; Mammalia; Didelphimorphia; Didelphidae.